RNAcentral lists this ribosomal RNA (448 nucleotides) under uncultured bacterium. Its description in RNAcentral is "partial 16S ribosomal RNA". It matches the Rfam family "Bacterial small subunit ribosomal RNA", at positions 29 to 523 of the family's 1533-position model. The record is from RNAcentral.
AACGAACGCUGGCGGCAUGCCUAACACAUGCAAGUCGAACGAGAUCUUCGGGUCUAGUGGCGCACGGGUGCGUAACGCGUGGGAAUCUGCCCUUUGGUUCGGAAUAACAGUUGGAAACGACUGCUAAUACCGGAUGAUGACGAAAGUCCAAAGAUUUAUCGCCAGAGGAUGAGCCCGCGUAGGAUUAGCUAGUUGGUGUGGUAAAGGCGCACCAAGGCGACGAUCCUUAGCUGGUCUGAGAGGAUGAUCAGCCACACUGGGACUGAGACACGGCCCAGACUCCUACGGUAGGCAGCAGUGGGGAAUAUUGGACAAUGGGCGAAGGCCUGAUCCAGCAAUGCCGCGUGAGUGAUGAAGGCCUUAGGGUUGUAAAGCUCUUUUACCCGGGAUGAUAAUGACAGUACCGGGAGAAUAAGCUCCGGCUAACUCCGUGCAGCAGCCGCCGUAA